UACAGAGGUCCCAAGCGUUGUUCGGAAUUACUGGGCGUAAAGGGCGCGUAGGCGGCGCGAUAAGUUGGGCGUGAAAGGCCCGGGCUCAACCCGGGGACUGCGCUUGAUACUGUCGCGCUGUGAGUCCGGGAGAGGAUGGCGGAAUUCCCAGUGUAGAGGUGAAAUUCGUAGAUAUUGGGAAGAACACCGGUGGCGAAGGCGGCCAUCUGGACCGGCACUGACGCUGAGGCGCGAAAGCGUGGGGAGCAAACAGG
Molecule: ribosomal RNA, 254 nt
Filed under: uncultured bacterium
Lineage: Bacteria
Description: partial 16S ribosomal RNA
Rfam family: Bacterial small subunit ribosomal RNA
Source: RNAcentral